Molecule: unclassified non-coding RNA, 246 nt
Filed under: uncultured fungus
Lineage: Eukaryota; Fungi
Description: partial contains 5.8S ribosomal RNA, internal transcribed spacer 2, and large subunit ribosomal RNA
Source: RNAcentral
AACGCACAUUGCGCCCUUUGGCAUUCCGAAGGGCAUGCCUGUUCGAGCGUCAUUACACCAAUCACGCCUGGCGUGGUAUUGGGCGACGGGGUGGCGACACCCCCCGCCCCAAUGACGACCGGCGAGACGGACCGAAUCUCAGCGUUGUGAAUCAAAAGCCGCUGGCGAGACGGGACGGCUGUGCCGUAAAACAACCCCAUAUCACAGGUUGACCUCGGAUCAGGUAGGGAUACCCGCUGAACUUAA